Molecule: ribosomal RNA, 468 nt
Filed under: Streptococcus gordonii
Lineage: Bacteria; Bacillati; Bacillota; Bacilli; Lactobacillales; Streptococcaceae
Description: bacterial SSU rRNA
Rfam family: Bacterial small subunit ribosomal RNA
Source: RNAcentral
GACGAACGCUGGCGGCGUGCCUAAUUCAUGCAAGUAGAACGCACAGUUUAUACCGUAGCUUGCUACACCAUAGACUGUGAGUUGCGAACGGGUGAGUAACGCGUAGGUAACCUGCCUGGUAGCGGGGGAUAACUAUUGGAAACGAUAGCUAAUACCGCAUAAUAUUAAUUAUUGCAUGAUAAUUAAUUGAAAGGUGCAAUUGCACCACUACCAGAUGGACCUGCGUUGUAUUAGCUAGUAGGUGAGGUAACGGCUCACCUAGGCGACGAUACAUAGCCGACCUGAGAGGGUGAUCGGCCACACUGGGACUGAGACACGGCCCAGACUCCUACGGGAGGCAGCAGUAGGGAAUCUUCGGCAAUGGACGAAAGUCUGACCGAGCAACGCCGCGUGUAGUGAAGAAGGUUUUCGGAUCGUAAAGCUCUGUUGUAAGAGAAGAACGGGUGUGAGAGUGGAUUCUCCACACUA